Molecule: ribosomal RNA, 505 nt
Filed under: uncultured bacterium
Lineage: Bacteria
Description: partial 16S ribosomal RNA
Rfam family: Bacterial small subunit ribosomal RNA
Source: RNAcentral
GACGAACGCUGGCGGCGUGCCUAAUACAUGCAAGUAGAACGCACAGUUUAUACCGUAGCUUGCUACACCAUAGACUGUGAGUUGCGAACGGGUGAGUAACGCGUAGGUAACCUGCCUGGUAGCGGGGGAUAACUAUUGGAAACGAUAGCUAAUACCGCAUAAUAUUGAUUAUUGCAUGAUAAUUGAUUGAAAGAUGCUAUUGCAUCACUACCAGAUGGACCUGCGUUGUAUUAGCUAGUAGGUGAGGUAACGGCUCACCUAGGCGACGAUACAUAGCCGACCUGAGAGGGGGAUCUGCCACACUGGGACGGAGACACGGCCCAGACUCCUACGGGAGGCAGCAGUAGGGAAUCUUCGGCAAUGGACGAAAGUCUGACCGAGGAACGCCGCGUGAGUGAAGAAGGUUGUCGGAUCGGAAAGCUCUGUUGUAAGAGAAGAACGGGUGUGAGAGUGGAAAGUUCACACUGUGACGGUAUCUGACCAGAAAGGGACGGCUAACUACGUG